UACGUAGGGGGCUAGCGUUGUCCGGAAUUAUUGGGCGUAAAGAGCUCGUAGGUGGUUUGUUACGUCUGCUGUGAAAACCUAGGGCUUAACCCUGGGCUUGCAGUGGAUACGGGCAGACUAGAGGUAGGUAGGGGAGAAUGGAAUUCCUGGUGUAGCGGUGAAAUGCGCAGAUAUCAGGAGGAACACCGGUGGCGAAGGCGGUUCUCUGGGCCUUACCUGACACUGAGGAGCGAAAGCGUGGGGAGCGAACAGG
Molecule: ribosomal RNA, 253 nt
Filed under: uncultured bacterium
Lineage: Bacteria
Description: partial 16S ribosomal RNA
Rfam family: Bacterial small subunit ribosomal RNA
Source: RNAcentral